CCUACGGUGUGCAGCAGUGGGGAAUAUUGCACAAUGGGGGGAACCCUGAUGCAGCAAAGCCGCGUGGGUGAAGAAGUACUUAGGUAUGUAAAGCCCUGUCAGCAGGGAAGAAAAUGACGGUACCUGACCAAGAAGCCCCGGCUAACUACGUGCCAGCAGCCGCGGUAAUACGUAGGGGGCAAGCGUUAUCCGGAUUUCCUGGGUGUAAAGGGGGCGUAGACGGCAAGGCAAGGCUGGAGUGAAAGCCCGUGGCUCAACCACGGGACUGCUUUGGAAAGUGUGUUGCUGGAGUGCAGGAGGGGUAAGCGGAAUUUCUAGUGUAGCGGUGAAAUGCGUAGAUAUUAGGAGGAACACCGGUGGCGAAGGCGGCUUACUGGACUGUAACUGACGUUGAGGCUCGAAGGCGUGGGGAGCAAACAGGAUUAGAUACCCGAGUAGUC
Molecule: ribosomal RNA, 440 nt
Filed under: uncultured bacterium
Lineage: Bacteria
Description: partial 16S ribosomal RNA
Rfam family: Bacterial small subunit ribosomal RNA
Source: RNAcentral